Long non-coding RNA from Papio anubis (olive baboon), 1919 nucleotides. Lineage: Eukaryota; Metazoa; Chordata; Mammalia; Primates; Cercopithecidae. The record is from Ensembl.
GGUGAUUAGGGAACUGACAAGAAUCAGAGCCAUAGACACUCUCUGGAUUUGGCUGAGGAGGCCAUAUCUAGAAAAGAUAAUAGGCACCAUGGUUACAUUAAUGUCUAUCGUUUUAGGAUUGAAUUACCACAAACCUAAACAGGCUCAGCAACUGAAACCAUUGAAAAAAACUCAAAAUGAGGAAGCAAAGGCUGAGCAUGAAAUCUGAGCUUCUAAAGUGAGCACAGUUGCGCAGCAGCAAAGUUCAGUGCUGCAAAUGGCAAUACUGAAAUGUCAAGAAAUGGAGUCUUAAAAAGUCCUCCCAUGCAGACAGACCACUGUUUUAUUCAACUGGACAAAAGAUUCUUAAGUAAAUACAAGAAAUCUGGUAAAACUUUUUAAGGAGUUAAGUAAAUCUGUCAACGUAUUGAGUGAAUCAGGGUAAAUAAGCCAAAGAAAUAACAAUGUGUAAGGACAAACAUAAUAGAAGUUUCUUUCUUGCUCAUGGAAGAAGUGAGAAGAGAGAAAGACUGGAGGAGGAUAGGUUCUUCUUAAGCCAUGACCCAGAAACAGCACAGCAUGCACUCCAAUGUGGCUGACUGGAACUCAAACUCAGCCGCACCCAGCUCCAAACAAAUCUGGGAAAGAGGUUCUAGCUGAGAAGAAAAGAAAACAUGAAUUCUGAUUAACAGCUUGCACUCUCUGCUACAGGUAAGAUUUCCAGUUAUAUAAAUUCUACACCAGGACCAGCAGCAGAGUAGAAGUCUGACAGAAGGGAAAAGGGCUAUGCAUUGGCCCACCAGCCAUUUGCAGGUACCCUGCCCUGCCUGAUGCUCAACAAUGUCCCCAGUUUCUCACAAAGCUAACAAAGUACAAACAAGGGGCCAAGGUUUACUUCUCAGUGUCCAAUCCUUUAUGUCUAAUGCUUCUAAUUAGUAAAAGGGAUCAGUUGAAGGCAUACUGGCACUGUGAUAACACUAGAGAAAAAUGUUUGGCCAAAAUACAACAGAUCCAUUCCCUGUAACCUAUACGGUACCCUGGAAGAAUUUUCCAUUUGAAAAUCCUUAUACACCUUGGCAAUGAUUUGCAAUGAGCAAGAUUUUCAACCACAGAGAGUUUUAGGAACUCUAGACAUUGGGGCCUUUGGGCCCCAAACCAAUGUAAGUUGUACUCCUACUUUUUUCAUCAUUCUGGAAGGUGAUCCCUGACUUAGUCGCAAACUACUUUGAAAGUAGAGAAACCAUUGGGAAAGGAGAAAGUAAGGCUUGGCUGCUGGGCUUGGUGUUUAACUGAAAGGCAAUACUUCAGGAAAUUGUGAAACCACCCGUCGUUAAGUAGAUGGUGUGAAGAUGGAGAAUAUUAUCUAAAACUACUAUACUGAAAGAAAAAGUUACUCUUCAGCUACCAUUUGUGUCUCCAAUUCUUUGUGUGCCUAUUUCUCUUUUUCUCAAAAUGAGGGAGAAAUUGGAUCCCUAGAUUUAAUCUUUCCUUAGCUGGAUAAUAACAGAUUUAUCAUUUCAAUCGAAUUAUAUUUUUAAUGCAAGGGUCAUGGUAUUUUCAAGAGUAUUUUUGUGCAAGGAAUAUAAUGAUAUGCCAUGGAUUUCAAGCAGAACCAGAAGGGAAGGGAAGUCUGAAGGGGUUUUAGGAUAGCAGGAAUAUGGCAGGAAAGUAGAGGGAUGCCAACAGGCUGGCUGUUUUUGUUGGCAUUACGUAGGGGGAACCAAACCCAGAAAUAGACCUCAAACUUCAGAAAAAUUUCUGAUAAAGCUGGAUUGGGAAACGAGGCUUGGAUCUACAGCCACAGUGAGUUUGCUUCAAACUCUACACAUGCUGAUUUGAACUGACUUGCCCAACCACCUGCAAAGCAGGCUGAUCUGAGAGGGGGUUCCCAAGAGCACCCUGGAAGGAGUUAGAAGAGAGGGGAGAAGAAGGUAUGGAUU